UCCUGACCGUGCAAAGGUAGCAUAAUCAUUUGCCUAUUAAUUGUAGGCUAGUAUGAAUGGACAAACGUGAACUUUACUGUCUCCUCUAAGUAAUUAAAACUUUAUAUCCAAGUGAAGAAGCUUAGAUACACUCGCAGGACAAGAAGACCCUAUAGAGCUUUACCACUAACCUUAGACUAUAAGCUAAUUGGUUCGGUUGGGGCGACCAAGGAAUACAAAACAUCCUUAAACAUAUUAGAUAUACUAAUCACAUUAAAGAUCCUUAUUAAAGAUCACUGGAACAAGCUACCUUAGGGAUAACAGGCUAAUUCCUCUAGAGAGCCCUUAUUGACAGAGGAGGUUGGCACCUCGAUGUUGGCUUAGGACUUCUUU
This 372-nucleotide ribosomal RNA is filed under the name Limnodrilus hoffmeisteri. RNAcentral's name for it is "partial 16S Ribosomal RNA". It matches the Rfam family "Bacterial large subunit ribosomal RNA", at positions 1940 to 2549 of the family's 2925-position model. The record is from RNAcentral. Lineage: Eukaryota; Metazoa; Annelida; Clitellata; Tubificida; Naididae.